GCGGGUGUGGCGAAACUGGUAGACGCAGCGGAUUUAGGUUCCGUCGCCGCAAGGCGUGGAGGUUCAAGUCCUCUCACCCGCACCA
Molecule: transfer RNA, 85 nt
Filed under: Devosia nanyangense
Lineage: Bacteria; Pseudomonadati; Pseudomonadota; Alphaproteobacteria; Hyphomicrobiales; Devosiaceae
Description: tRNA-Leu
Rfam family: tRNA
About the family: Transfer RNA (tRNA) molecules are approximately 80 nucleotides in length. Their secondary structure includes four short double-helical elements and three loops (D, anti-codon, and T loops).
Source: RNAcentral